RNAcentral lists this ribosomal RNA (570 nucleotides) under uncultured bacterium. Its description in RNAcentral is "bacterial SSU rRNA". It matches the Rfam family "Bacterial small subunit ribosomal RNA", at positions 211 to 783 of the family's 1533-position model. The record is from RNAcentral.
AAGGCCGUCGGAGGAGGGGCCCGCGCCCGAUUAGCUAGUUGGUGAGGUCAUGGCUCACCAAGGCGAUGAUCGGUAGCCGGUCUGAGAGGACGACCGGCCACACUGGAACUGAGACACGGUCCAGACUCCUACGGGAGGCAGCAGUGGGGAAUAUUGCGCAAUGGGCGAAAGCCUGACGCAGCGACGCCGCGUGGGGGAUGAAGCUUCUCGGAGUGUAAACCCCUUUCGGCCCGGACGAAAAAUCCCGCAAGGGAUCUGACGGUACGGGUAUAAGAAGCCCCGGCUAACUACGUGCCAGCAGCCGCGGUAAGACGUAGGGGGCCAGCGUUGCUCGGAAUAACUGGGCGUAAAGGGUUCGUAGGCGGUGUGACAAGUCGGGAGUGAAAUCCUGAGGCUUAACUUCAGGACUGCCUCCGAAACUGUCAUGCUGGAGUGCGGGAGAGGCGAGUGGAAUUGCAGGUGUAGCGGUGAAAUACGUAGAUAUCUGCAGAAACACCAGUGGCGAAAGCGGCUCGCUGGACCGCAACUGACGCUGAGGAACGAAAGCUAGGGGAGCAAACAGGAUUAGAU